UUAUUCAAUACUUUAUUUAACUGUAUUAAACUGGUGUUACUUUUGUGUUGGUAAUAUAAUUUUAGAUCUGUUUAGAACAGAAAUUAAUUUUUAAUUACAUGUGAUAAACAUGAGACACUCAUUCUGUAAACCAAAUACUGCUUUUUGUUAAAAUGUCCACAGUGCAGUACAGUUGAAUGGUACUGAUAUGGUUGUAUAACUUAGUUUUAAAAUAAUUAUUUUUUUAUGUUGUGAGUCACCAGAUGGCAAAGUAUUCUGAUAAUGACCCCUUUGGAUGAAGCCCAAAUAAAAAUGCAAGUGUUAACACACCCAAUCUGGUCUCCCAAACUGCUUUUGGGUUGUGGAGAACCUUUUGUAACUCUUAAUGUCUUUCUGUGGUUGUGGUCCCUAGACUAUUAUUUAUUAAAAAUCAAACUUUAAGAGGAAGUAUCUCAAUUUUACCUGACUACUGGUCCUGCAGUUCACUCUCUCUUUUCCAUAAACAGAAAAUUGUAUGGUAUUCACAUGUUUAAAAAAAUGUUGCCACAUCAAAAAAAUAGUCACAUUUUGGUUCAGAGAGUUCUGGCCGGAGGGCCCUUAUCAUAGGUUUUCAAACGGAGACAUGUGAUCAGGAGGGCAGACUCUAGCCUGGCUGGUUUGUUUAAAAGAUGAGGAAUGAAGCACUGGGACUCAGACCUGAACCUUAAUCAGACAAUCUCAGAAAUCAGAAUCGUCUCCUGCCACUGAAUCCAAUUCAAGAAUGAAGAAGAUCCUGCUGGUGACUCUGCUUCUUGCUGGGAUGAUAAUAAGUGGUUCUGCCCUACAAUGUUACUUCUGUGUUCCUGAGAGUGGGAAGCCUUGCAAUCCCACCAUAGAAAACUGUGGCCCUGGAAAAGAUACCUGCUUUCAAGGCGUACGCAGCAUUCCCAGUUUAAUCCAGAAGAAAUGUAUGCGUAUGGAAGAGUGUGAGGACAAGCGGGACAGUCGUUCCAUGAGAGUCCAGUGCUGUCAGACAGACCUCUGCAACAAGUAG
RNAcentral lists this long non-coding RNA (1012 nucleotides) under Astyanax mexicanus (Mexican tetra). Its description in RNAcentral is "lncRNA (ENSAMXG00005010169.1)". The record is from RNAcentral. Lineage: Eukaryota; Metazoa; Chordata; Actinopteri; Characiformes; Acestrorhamphidae.